Molecule: unclassified non-coding RNA, 221 nt
Filed under: uncultured fungus
Lineage: Eukaryota; Fungi
Description: sequence contains ITS1, 5.8S rRNA gene
Rfam family: 5.8S ribosomal RNA (bases 173-221)
Source: RNAcentral
UCUCCGUUGGUGAACCAGCGGAGGGAUCAUUACAGAGUGCCCUUUGGCUCUGCAAACCCCGCGAACAGCAUACCCUGUUGCCUCGGCGGCGCUGCGCCAGCAGCCCGCCGGCGGCCCUGAAUAAACUCUUUAGUAGCCGCCGUCCUUCUGACUAAGAUUCAUAAUAAGUAAAAACUUUUAGCGGCGGAUCUCUUGGCUCAAGCAUCGAUGAAGAACGCAGC